GACGAACGCUGGCGGCGUGCUUAACACAUGCAAGUCGAACGGAAAGGCCCUGCUUUUGUGGGGUGCUCGAGUGGCGAACGGGUGAGUAACACGUGAGUAACCUGCCCUUGACUUUGGGAUAACUUCAGGAAACUGGGGCUAAUACCGGAUAGGAGCUCCUGCUGCAUGGUGGGGGAUGGAAAGUUUCGGCGGUUGGGGAUGGACUCGCGGCUUAUCAGCUUGUUGGUGGGGUAGUGGCUUACCAAGGCUUUGACGGGUAGCCGGCCUGAGAGGGUGACCGGCCACAUUGGGACUGAGAUACGGCCCAGACUCCUACGGGAGGCAGAAGGGGGGAAUAUUGCACAAUGGGCGGAAGCCUGAUGCAGCAACGCCGCGUGCGGGAUGACGGCCUUCGGGUUGUAAACCGCUUUCGCCUGUGACGAAGCGUGAGUGACGGUAAUGGGUAAAGAAGCACCGGCUAACUACGUG
RNAcentral lists this ribosomal RNA (468 nucleotides) under uncultured bacterium. RNAcentral's name for it is "partial 16S ribosomal RNA". It matches the Rfam family "Bacterial small subunit ribosomal RNA", at positions 28 to 507 of the family's 1533-position model. The record is from RNAcentral.